This is a non-coding RNA of Ixodes scapularis (black-legged tick), 82 nucleotides long. NCBI's taxonomy places the organism in Eukaryota, Metazoa, Arthropoda, Arachnida, Ixodida, Ixodidae. The record is from Rfam.
GCAGUCGUGGCCCAGUGGUUAAGGCGAUGGACUAGAAAUCCAUGGGGGUCUUCCCGCACAGGUUCGAGUCCUGUCAAUUGCG